This 468-nucleotide ribosomal RNA is filed under the name uncultured bacterium. RNAcentral describes it as "partial 16S ribosomal RNA". It matches the Rfam family "Bacterial small subunit ribosomal RNA", at positions 28 to 507 of the family's 1533-position model. The record is from RNAcentral.
GACGAACGCUGGCGGCGUGCUUAACACAUGCAAGUCGAACGGAAAGGCCCUGCUUUUGUGGGGUGCUCGAGUGGCGAACGGGUGAGUAACACGUGAGUAACCUGCCCUUGACUUUGGGAUAACUUCAGGAAACUGGGGCUAAUACCGGAUAGGAGCUCCUGCUGCAUGGUGGGGGUUGGAAAGUUUCGGCGGUUGGGGAUGGACUCGCGGCUUAUCAGCUUGUUGGUGGGGUAGUGGCUUACCAAGGCUUUGACGGGUAGCCGGCCUGAGAGGGUGACCGGCCACAUUGGGACUGAGAUACGGCCCAGACUCCUACGGGAGGCAGCAGUGGGGAAUAUUGCACAAUGGCCGGAAGCCUGAUGCAGCAACGCCGCGUGCGGGAUGACGGCCUUCGGGUUGUAAACCGCUUUCGCCUGUGACGAAGCGUGAGUGACGGUAAUGGGUAAAGAAGCACCGGCUAACUACGUG